GGCGGACGGGUGCGUAACACGUGGACAAUCUACCUUCCGGCGGGGGACAACAGUUCGAAAGGACUGCUAAUACCGCGUACGUCAGCGGGGGCUCCGGCCUUUGCUGAGAAAGAUGGCCUCUCCUUGGAAGCUGUCACCGGAAGAUGAGUCCGCGGCCCAUCAGCUAGUUGGUGAGGUAACGGCUCACCAAGGCUAAGACGGGUAGCUGGUCUGAGAGGAUGAUCAGCCACACUGGGACUGCGACACGGCCCAGACUCCUACGGGAGGCAGCAGUGGGGAAUAUUGGGCAAUGGGCGAAAGCCUGACCCAGCCACGCCGCGUGAGUGAUGAAGGCCUUCGGGUCGUAAAGCUCUGUGGGGGGGGUCGAACAAGCCUGGGGCUAAUCACCCGGGCCCUGACGGUACCCCCUUAGCAAGCACCGGCUAACCAUGUGCCAGCAGCCGCGGUAAUACAUGGGGUGCAAACGUUGCUCGGAAUUAUUGGGCGUAAAGCGCGCGUAGGCGGUCGCUUAAGUCGGAUGUGAAAGCCCUCGGCUUAACUGA
This 542-nucleotide ribosomal RNA is filed under the name uncultured Pseudomonadota bacterium. Its description in RNAcentral is "bacterial SSU rRNA". It matches the Rfam family "Bacterial small subunit ribosomal RNA", at positions 97 to 616 of the family's 1533-position model. The record is from RNAcentral. Lineage: Bacteria; Pseudomonadati; Pseudomonadota.